Molecule: unclassified non-coding RNA, 224 nt
Filed under: plant metagenome
Description: partial contains small subunit ribosomal RNA, internal transcribed spacer 1, and 5.8S ribosomal RNA
Source: RNAcentral
UCUCCGUUGGUGAACCAGCGGAGGGAUCAUUACAGGACUCGCAAGACUCCUUCACCCUGUGAACCUCACUACAAGCACGUUGCUUCGGCGGGUGUCCCGGCGGGGGUUUUCCCUCGCCGGGGCGCACAGCCCGCCGGCAGCCUACUAUACUCUGUCUCUUUGCGUUGGCAUCUCGAGAAAAAACAAACAAGAUAAAACUUUCAACAACGGAUCUCUUGGUUCUG